ACGGGUGAGUAAUGUCUGGGAAACUGCCUGAUGGAGGAGGAUAACUACUGGAAACGGUAGCUAAUACCGCAUAAUGUCGCAAGACCAAAGAGGGGGACCUUCGGGCCUCUUGCCAUCGGAUGUGCCCAGAUGGGAUUAGCUUGUUGGUGGGGUAACGGCUCACCAAGGCGACGAUCCCUAGCUGGUCUGAGAGGAUGACCAGCCACACUGGAACUGAGACACGGUCCAGACUCCUACGGGAGGCAGCAUG
Molecule: ribosomal RNA, 250 nt
Filed under: uncultured bacterium
Lineage: Bacteria
Description: partial 16S ribosomal RNA
Rfam family: Bacterial small subunit ribosomal RNA
Source: RNAcentral